This 863-nucleotide ribosomal RNA is filed under the name Salmonella enterica subsp. enterica serovar 4,12:d:-. RNAcentral's name for it is "partial 23S ribosomal RNA". It matches the Rfam family "Bacterial large subunit ribosomal RNA", at positions 1 to 796 of the family's 2925-position model. The record is from RNAcentral. Lineage: Bacteria; Pseudomonadati; Pseudomonadota; Gammaproteobacteria; Enterobacterales; Enterobacteriaceae.
GGGUUGUGAGGUUAAGCGACUAAGCGUACACGGUGGAUGCCCUGGCAGUCAGAGGCGAUGAAGGGCGUGCUAAUCUGCGAUAAGCGCCGGUAAGGUGAUAUGAACCGUUAUAACCGGCGAUACCCGAAUGGGGAAACCCAGUGUGAUUCGUCACACUAUCAUUAACUGAAUCCAUAGGUUAAUGAGGCGAACCGGGGGAACUGAAACAUCUAAGUACCCCGAGGAAAAGAAAUCAACCGAGAUUCCCCCAGUAGCGGCGAGCGAACGGGGAGGAGCCCAGAGCCUGAAUCAGCAUGUGUGUUAGUGGAAGCGUCUGGAAAGGCGCGCGAUACAGGGUGACAGCCCCGUACACAAAAGCGCAUGUGCUGUGAGCUCGAUGAGUAGGGCGGGACACGUGGUAUCCUGUCUGAAUAUGGGGGGACCAUCCUCCAAGGCUAAAUACUCCUGACUGACCGAUAGUGAACCAGUACCGUGAGGGAAAGGCGAAAAGAACCCCGGCGAGGGGAGUGAAAAAGAACCUGAAACCGUGUACGUACAAGCAGUGGGAGCCCCACCACUAAGCCAGUGGUGAACUCCACAUACGCAUCCUUUGCUGAGGAUACGGUUAACGGAGCGAAAGCGACGUUCAACCGCAAAAGAAGCAGAGGGGGCUUAGUGGUGGGGUGACUGCGUACCUUUUGUAUAAUGGGUCAGCGACUUAUAUUCUGUAGCAAGGUUAACCGUAUAGGGGAGCCGCAGGGAAACCGAGUCUUAACCGGGCGUUAAGUUGCAGGGUAUAGACCCGAAACCCGGUGAUCUAGCCAUGGGCAGGUUGAAGGUUGGGUAACACUAACUGGAGGACCGAACCGACUAAUGUUGAAAAA